This 482-nucleotide ribosomal RNA is filed under the name uncultured bacterium. RNAcentral describes it as "partial 16S ribosomal RNA". It matches the Rfam family "Bacterial small subunit ribosomal RNA", at positions 28 to 507 of the family's 1533-position model. The record is from RNAcentral.
GACGAACGCUGGCGGCGUGCUUAACACAUGCAAGUCGAACGAUGAAGAAGAGAAACGCGAACUUCGGUUCAAAUUUCACUUCGGAUUAGUGGCAGACGGGUGAGUAACGCGUGAGCAACCUACCUCUUACAAAGGGAUAGCCUCGGGAAACCGUGAUUAAUACCAUAUGACACAUUCAUAAGGCAUCUUAAGAAUGUUAAAGCUACGGCGGUAAGAGAUGGGCUCGCGUCCCAUUAGCUAGUUGGUGAGGUAACGGCCCACCAAGGCGACGAUGGGUAACCGGCCUGAGAGGGUGAACGGUCACAUUGGAACUGAGACACGGUCCAAACUCCUACGGGAGGCAGCAGUGGGGAAUAUUGCACAAUGGAGGGAACUCUGAUGCAGCGACGCCGCGGGAGCGAUGAAGGAAUUCGUUUCGUAAAGCUCUGUUCUAUGGGAAGAAAAGGACUGUACCAUAGGAGAAAGCCCCGGCUAAAUACGUG